CCUACGGGAGGCAGCAGUAGGGAAUAUUGGACAAUGGGCGAAAGCCUGAUCCAGCCAUGCCGCGUGAGUGACGAAGGCCUUCGGGUUGUAAAGCUCUUUUGGCGGGGACGAUAAUGACGGUACCCGCAGAAUAAGCCCCGGCUAACUUCGUGCCAGCAGCCGCGGUAAUACGAAGGGGGCUAGCGUUGUUCGGAAUCACUGGGCGUAAAGCGCACGUAGGCGGACUUUCAAGUCAGGGGUGAAAUCCCGGAGCUCAACUUCGGAAUUGCCUCUGAUACUGUUGGUCUCGAGUCCGGAAGAGGUGGGUGGAAUUCCUAGUGUAGAGGUGAAAUUCGUAGAUAUUAGGAAGAACACCGGUGGCGAAGGCGGCCCACUGGUCCGGUACUGACGCUGAGGUGCGAAAGCGUGGGGAGCAAACAGGAUUAGAUACCCUUGUAGU
RNAcentral lists this ribosomal RNA (439 nucleotides) under uncultured Hyphomicrobium sp. Its description in RNAcentral is "bacterial SSU rRNA". It matches the Rfam family "Bacterial small subunit ribosomal RNA", at positions 338 to 794 of the family's 1533-position model. Lineage: Bacteria; Pseudomonadati; Pseudomonadota; Alphaproteobacteria; Hyphomicrobiales; Hyphomicrobiaceae. The record is from RNAcentral.